CGAUUGGGUCUUACGCAACGAAGCGUUGUGAAUUCCGUCAGAUCCGGAAGGAAGCAGCGGUAAGCAAAUGUCUUCGUGUGCCGUAAGGUUGCCUGGUUCGAGC
Molecule: signal recognition particle RNA, 103 nt
Filed under: Halobacteroides halobius DSM 5150
Lineage: Bacteria; Bacillati; Bacillota; Clostridia; Halanaerobiales; Halobacteroidaceae
Description: Bacterial signal recognition particle RNA
Rfam family: Bacterial small signal recognition particle RNA
About the family: The signal recognition particle (SRP) is a universally conserved ribonucleoprotein involved in the co-translational targeting of proteins to membranes. Archaeal SRP consists of a 7S RNA and homologues of the eukaryotic SRP19 and SRP54 proteins. In most bacteria, the SRP consists of a 4.5S RNA and the Ffh protein (a homologue of the eukaryotic SRP54 protein).
Source: RNAcentral